RNAcentral lists this ribosomal RNA (468 nucleotides) under uncultured bacterium. RNAcentral describes it as "partial 16S ribosomal RNA". It matches the Rfam family "Bacterial small subunit ribosomal RNA", at positions 28 to 507 of the family's 1533-position model. The record is from RNAcentral.
GACGAACGCUGGCGGCGUGCUUAACACAUGCAAGUCGAACGGAAAGGCCCUGCUUUUGUGGGGUGCUCGAGUGGCGAACGGGUGAGUAACACGUGAGUAACCUGCCCUUGACUUUGGGAUAACUUCAGGAAACUGGGGCUAAUACCGGAUAGGAGCUCCUGCUGCAUGGUGGGGGUUGGAAAGUUUCGGCGGUUGGGGAUGGACUCGCGGCUUAUCAGCUUGUUGGUGGGGUAGUGGCUUACCAAGGCUUUGACGGGUAGCCGGCCUGAGAGGGUGACCGGCGACAUUGGGACUAAGAUACGGCCCAGACUCCUACGGGAGGCAGCAGUGGGGAAUAUUGCACAAUGGGCGGAAGCCUGAUGCAGCAACGCCGCGUGCGUGAUGACGGCCUUCGGGUUGUAAACCGCUUUCGCCUGUGACGAAGCGUGAGUGACGGUAAUGGGUAAAGAAGCACCGGCUAACUACGUG